GAUGAACGCUGGCGGCGUGCCUAAUACAUGCAAGUCGAGCGAACGGACGAGAAGCUUGCUUCUCUGAUGUUAGCGGCGGACGGGUGAGUAACACGUGGAUAACCUACCUAUAAGACUGGGAUAACUUCGGGAAACCGUAGCUAGUACCGGAUAAUAUUUUGAACCGCAUGGUUCAAAAGUGAAAGACGGUCUUGCUGUCACUUAUAGAUGGAUCCGCGCUGCAUUAGCUAGUUGGUAAGGUAACGGCUUACAAGGCAACGAUGCAUAGCCGACCUGAGAGGGUGAUCGGCCACACUGGAACUGAGACACGGUCCAGACUCCUACGGGAGGCAGCAGUAGGGAAUCUUCCGCAAUGGGCGAAAGCCUGACGGAGCAACGCCGCGUGAGUGAUGAAGGUCUUCGGAUCGUAAAACUCUGUUAUUAGGGAAGAACAUAUGUGUAAGUAACUGUGCACAUCUUGACGGUACCUAAUCAGAAAGCCACGGCUAACUACGUG
Molecule: ribosomal RNA, 496 nt
Filed under: uncultured bacterium
Lineage: Bacteria
Description: partial 16S ribosomal RNA
Rfam family: Bacterial small subunit ribosomal RNA
Source: RNAcentral